RNAcentral lists this ribosomal RNA (546 nucleotides) under Feresa attenuata (pygmy killer whale). RNAcentral describes it as "partial 16S ribosomal RNA". It matches the Rfam family "Bacterial large subunit ribosomal RNA", at positions 1816 to 2597 of the family's 2925-position model. The record is from RNAcentral. Lineage: Eukaryota; Metazoa; Chordata; Mammalia; Artiodactyla; Delphinidae.
CACCUCUAGCAUAACUAGUAUUAGAGGCACUGCCUGCCCAGUGACAAUCGUUAAACGGCCGCGGUAUCUUGACCGUGCAAAGGUAGCAUAAUCACUUGUUCUCUAAAUAAGGACUUGUAUGAACGGCCACACGAGGGUUUUACUGUCUCUUACUCCUAAUCAGUGAAAUUGACCUCCCCGUGAAGAGGCGGGGAUAGCACAAUAAGACGAGAAGACCCUAUGGAGCUUUAAUUAAUCAACUCAAAAAGCAUAAAAUAAUACCACCAAGGGAUAACAAAACUUUAUAUGAGCUGACAAUUUCGGUUGGGGUGACCUCGGAGUAUAAAAAACCCUCCGAGUGAUUAAAACUUAGGCCUACUAGCCAAAGUAUAGUAUCACAUAUUGAUCCAAAAUUUUGAUCAACGGAACAAGUUACCCUAGGGAUAACAGCGCAAUCCUAUUCUAGAGUCCAUAUCGACAAUAGGGUUUACGACCUCGAUGUUGGAUCAGGACAUCCUAAUGGUGCAGCAGCUAUUAAGGGUUCGUUUGUUCAACGAUUAAAGUCCU